This is a non-coding RNA of Capra hircus (goat), 73 nucleotides long. The record is from the annotation of a RefSeq genome assembly. Lineage: Eukaryota; Metazoa; Chordata; Mammalia; Artiodactyla; Bovidae.
UUCCUGGUGGCUCAGAUGGUAAAGCGUCCGCCUGCAGUGCGGGAGACCCAGGUUCGAUUCCUGGGUCGGGAAG